Molecule: ribosomal RNA, 798 nt
Filed under: uncultured Salinivibrio sp.
Lineage: Bacteria; Pseudomonadati; Pseudomonadota; Gammaproteobacteria; Vibrionales; Vibrionaceae
Description: bacterial SSU rRNA
Rfam family: Bacterial small subunit ribosomal RNA
Source: RNAcentral
UAAUCGGAAUUACUGGGCGUAAAGCGCAUGCAGACGGUUUGUUAAGUCAGAUGUGAAAGCCCGGGGCUCAACCUCGGAACCGCAUUUGAAACUGGCAGGCUAGAGUCUUGUAGAGGGGGGUAGAAUUUCAGGUGUAGCGGUGAAAUGCGUAGAGAUCUGAAGGAAUACCAGUGGCGAAGGCGGCCCCCUGGACAAAGACUGACGCUCAGAUGCGAAAGCGUGGGUAGCAAACAGGAUUAGAUACCCUGGUAGUCCACGCCGUAAACGCUGUCUACUUGGAGGUUGAGGUUUAAGACUUUGGCUUUCGGCGCUAACGCAUUAAGUAGACCGCCUGGGGAGUACGGCCGCAAGGUUAAAACUCAAAUGAAUUGACGGGGGCCCGCACAAGCGGUGGAGCAUGUGGUUUAAUUCGAUGCAACGCGAAGAACCUUACCUACUCUUGACAUCCAGAGAACUUUCCAGAGAUGGAUUGGUGCCUUCGGGAACUCUGAGACAGGUGCUGCAUGGCUGUCGUCAGCUCGUGUUGUGAAAUGUUGGGUUAAGUCCCGCAACGAGCGCAACCCUUAUCCUUGUUUGCCAGCACGUAAUGGUGGGAACUCCAGGGAGACUGCCGGUGAUAAACCGGAGGAAGGUGGGGACGACGUCAAGUCAUCAUGGCCCUUACGAGUAGGGCUACACACGUGCUACAAUGGCAGAUACAGAGGGCAGCGAAGCUGCGAAGUGGAGCGAAUCCCUUAAAGUCUGUCGUAGUCCGGAUUGGAGUCUGCAACUCGACUCCAUGAAGUCGGAAUCGCUAGU